AUUGAACGCUGGCGGCAGGCCUAACACAUGCAAGUCGAACGAGUGGCGGACGGGUGAGUAAUGUCUGGGAAACUGCCUGAUGGAGGGGGAUAACUACUGGAAAAGGUAGCUAAUACCGCAUACCAUCAGAUGUGCCCAGAUGGGAUUUGCUUGUUGGUGGGGUAACGGAUCACCAAGGAGACGAUCCCUAGCGGGUCUGAGAGGAUGACCAGCCAGCUUGUAACUUAGACACUGGCCAGACUCCGACGGGAGUCAGCAGUGGGGAAUAUUGCACAAUGUGCGCAAGCCUGAUGCAGCCAUGCCGCGUGUAUGAAGAAGGCCUUCGGGUUGUAAAGUACUUUCAGCGUGGAGGCGUUACCCGCAGAAGAAGCACCGGCUAACUCCGUGCCAGCAGCCGCGGUAAUAC
This 406-nucleotide ribosomal RNA is filed under the name uncultured bacterium. RNAcentral's name for it is "partial 16S ribosomal RNA". It matches the Rfam family "Bacterial small subunit ribosomal RNA", at positions 30 to 526 of the family's 1533-position model. The record is from RNAcentral.